GCCGACGUGGCGGAGUGGUUAACGCACCAGAUUGGAGAUCUGGGCCUUUCGGGGCUCACAGGUUCGAAUCCUGUCGUCGGCG
Molecule: transfer RNA, 82 nt
Filed under: Nanobdellota archaeon
Lineage: Archaea; Nanobdellati; Nanobdellota
Description: tRNA-Ser
Rfam family: tRNA
About the family: Transfer RNA (tRNA) molecules are approximately 80 nucleotides in length. Their secondary structure includes four short double-helical elements and three loops (D, anti-codon, and T loops).
Source: RNAcentral